AACGCACAUUGCGCCUCUCUUUAACCGGGAGGCAUGCCUGUCUGAGCGUCAUUUAAACCAAUGAACAUAGUUCGUGUUGAGUUUCGCCUUUUGGGCGUUACUUUAAAGUAAUUGGUCUAGAUUAGCGGGCGAGAUCCUUUCGGGCUAACCGCAAGUCAAUCCAAAUAAUAUCUCUGAUUUGACCUCAGAUCAGGUAGGGACACCGCCUGAACUUAA
Molecule: unclassified non-coding RNA, 216 nt
Filed under: uncultured fungus
Lineage: Eukaryota; Fungi
Description: sequence contains ITS2
Source: RNAcentral